This 253-nucleotide ribosomal RNA is filed under the name uncultured bacterium. RNAcentral describes it as "partial 16S ribosomal RNA". It matches the Rfam family "Bacterial small subunit ribosomal RNA", at positions 524 to 776 of the family's 1533-position model. The record is from RNAcentral.
UACAGAGGUCCCGAGCGUUGUUCGGAUUCAUUGGGCGUAAAGGGUGCGUAGGUGGCGCUGUAAGUGGGGUGUGAAAUCCCGGGGCUUAACUCCGGAACUGCAUUCCAUACUGCGGUGCUUGAGGACUGGAGAGGAGGCUGGAAUUUACGGUGUAGCAGUGAAAUGCGUAGAGAUCGUAAGGAAGACCAGUGGCGAAGGCGGGUCUCUGGACAGUUCCUGACACUGAGGCACGAAGGCCAGGGGAGCAAACGGG